CAUAGAUAAACGUGUAGUAGAGUGUACUUUGUUCUGAAAAUGACCGAAGCAAAUCUAGUUUCACUGUGUCUCUCAUCUCGCCUCUUCUUCUAUCUGACUAAUUCCUAUUCACACGUCCAAAUUUGAGCCACCCCUUAAUUCAUCUUAUUGUUUUCAUGGGAAAUCUUAGCCUCAUCAAUUCUGAAAAUUGAUUCUUGUGGCCCAAUUAUCAGAUGUAUCGAUUCUAUGUUUGUCUAUAUCUUAAUCUCAAAGAAUGGAUCCGGCUGUUGGAGUAGUGGUAGUUUUGGUUGUAAUUCACGGUCAGUUGUUAGUCAAUUGAUUGAAUAUAAUGGAGAUUUCCAUCUCUAGAUCUACCAAUUCAAGAUUAUAUCUUUUCUCCAACUUGGGAGGGAUUGAAUUGUUCUUAGCUUCCUUUCCAGAUCUACCAAACAAGCAAGGUCCAUGGCUCAUGAAUUUAUAUGCACAUGAACUAAAUUACAUAUACAGAGAGACAUGGCUGAGAAAGCAUGGAGUGUUUACCCGUGUCAUUCCAUCACAGAGAGGAAGAGGUUCUCAUCCAUUAUAUGGGAGUAGUAUAGUCGAGGUUUCACAUUGUAGUUCCUUUUUAUUUACACCACUGCGACCAACAGGAAAAAGAUCAAUGAGAUGUAUCAUAGUUUUUGCUUUAGUUCUUCUAUUAUUGAUCACCACAUAACAGUUAACUUCAUUCCUCCAAAUAUUUCAUACAAACCCCAGUUCUGAAAUGCUACUUUCCUAAGAAAAGGCCAUCAAAAUGCAGGUAAUAAACCCAACAAAAAAGAAGCAAAAAGGUGCAAACUUUAAGGGUAGGAAAAUGACACUUAGAAUAAAAAAGGAGAAAUUAUGAGAGAAUCACAGCUUCAAACUUGUAAAAUUUAGUAGUAAUAUAUCAGAUCUUACAACAAGAUUGAAACUUUUGAAUUGAACAAAAAGUUUCAACCAAUUCUUGAAGAGCAGGAUGCCAGGAUCACAAAACAUCAAAGUGGCCAGUAGAAAAAAAUGAAAAGAUGGACAGAACUCAACCACAAAUGUUCAAUAAAAAUCCAUACUUUGCAGAAAAAUAAAAUUAUAAGAGCCAAAUAUCAAGAAACUUAUGUAUAAUAAGAAGAGGAACAUGAAAAUUUUGGAUGAAAAAGUUACAAUUUGCCAUUACAAAAGAUAAAAAAGACUCCAGCUUUGAGCUUUUCUUGGGCAUGUAAACUAUAGUAAUGCAAGUAAUGAAGAAAAACAGGCCAUUCUUGAAUUUGUGCUAGUUGUGUAAUCUCCAAGAAUAAUUAAUCACACAUUCAUGGUUUUCUGACAAUAAUCCAGAAAAUAUUACACUGCAAAAAGCUCUGAAAUCACGGGAACAAUUUUGAUUGAACACAACUGAAGUAAAUUAUGCUUACAAUAAGCAAAAAGAACUGAAGAUAGGAAACAACACAAAACAAAAGGUAAAUUUUGAAGGGAAAACAGAUUUUGAGAAGCUAAAUUGACACAAGAGAGAAAACACACAGACACACUCAUUUUCUCUUUCUUUUUUUUUCUUCCCUUUACUACAUUAGUGUUUAUUGCUAAUAGCAGUUAAGAAAACAAAAGAAAGAGAAACAAGGAUAAUGAGAACAACAGAGGGUACUUUUACCUCUAAGUUUCGCAAGAUAAGGUAGAAGAUUAACAACAAUCUCAUCUUCUUCAUCAGAGUCGGAUCCAUCAUCAAGAUCUUAUACAAUUAAAAAAGAAAAUAUAUCAAAUAUUACUGAUAAUUAGUUAUUCAGAAAAUAAAAUAAACCAAAAUUGUUUCUUAGACACUCCACAAAUUACAUUAGACCAAGAUUACUUAGACAUGGUAGACCAAGAUUACUUAGACACUCCCCAAAUGGCAUUUUUCUUGUUUCUGAAUUCUUGAUAUGCUUAACACCUUCUCUAAUUUUCGCAAUAGUUGCAUCGGCCUUCUCUAAGCCUGUCUUAACUAUUAAGUUCAAAAUGUGAUUCCCACAACCGAUAUGAAUCAACUUUCCGUGCUCUCUUCUUCUCGAACUGAUUUUCUCCCCUUUCUUUUUUGGGAGGUAAGAAACUGUUGGAGAAGAAUAGAACUGAAAUAAAAGUUCUAUUAACUCCAACUAUUUUUAUCCACAAAUUAAACCUUUCUUUAUUCAUCACAAGGAGCCUCAUCUUGGCUUUCGUUGCUAAAGUAAGUUCAUCUCUUCUACACCAUCAUAUUACUUAAUAUCGAUGCACUUCACAACUCUUCAGCUAGGAUUGACAGGUUAAAAAAAGAAAGAAGCUAAUUUGCCUAUAGAUAACAUGUGAAGUUUGGCAGGUUAAAGCUACUUGCGCAAGAAAUAAUCAUAAGAAAGUGGGAACGUGAAUUUGAACCUGCCUUUUUUUUGCUACUGUAUUUUUUAUGAAGUAAUAGUGCACGAUUAAAAGGUGAGAAUUUCUGGCUAACAUUACAAGGAUAUAUUCAUCAAUAGAUAGACAAUUGUUUUGAGUUAUAUUUUUUCUUCGUUCUCUGUUUUCGUGUAGGCAUGUGUCCUGUUACAGUUAAAAAAAGGUGGUCUUUCCCCAAUUUUCUCAUAUUUUGAGCAAAUGCAAACAGACAAUAGUAUUUGUUAUUGGCUGGCGUAAAGAACACCAGUUUACGUAGUAAAAUAUACAUUCCUAUUUGAAGGAGGAACUUUGUUAGAUACCCCAAAAAAUAUCCAUAAACUCCUUGGAAGAAAUACCAAACUUCAAUUUUUCUGGCACACACAUGCAUCCGGUUUACUUCAUCUGCCAGCAAAUCACUUGCUGCUUCCCCAUUUGUCAAUAAAAUUUUGAACUAAAUGAAAAAAUACAUGAGGUAUUAGGUAUCUACUUAAGAGUGUUUCUCAGAAUUCUAAGAGACAACAGACAUAAUGGUUUCUAAGAGACAGUCACAAUGGUUUAAUUAAUUAUUUAGUUGUUUUGUCUUCUUUUUCAAACAAAAUUAAUUGAAUGAUAAUGGCCAUUUAAAAUUUAUGGGCUUUUGUGUAACUUAACUUUAACAUUAAAGGGCCACUUAUAAUAUAGUACUAGUCUUAGGGUACGCGCUUUGCGCUUGUGUACCUGUCUGAAGAAAUACAAAAUUUUAAAAUAAAUCACAUAAAAUUAAUUUAAAAUAUUUUGUCUGAGUUGUAUAAUGGAAGUUAAGAGAAAGUGUAAAAUCAUGGAAAUGAUGAUUAAUAUUCAGCCUAUUUACAGCUUGUUUGGAUAGUCGUUACCUAUUGUAUUGUAUCGUAUUGUUACUUUAAAUAGGAUGUUUG
Molecule: non-coding RNA, 3281 nt
Organism: Nicotiana tabacum (common tobacco)
Lineage: Eukaryota; Viridiplantae; Streptophyta; Magnoliopsida; Solanales; Solanaceae
Source: RefSeq, a predicted model, not a curated record